This 95-nucleotide non-coding RNA is filed under the name Deferribacter desulfuricans. RNAcentral's name for it is "TPP sequence". It matches the Rfam family "TPP riboswitch aptamer (THI element)". Rfam says of the family: Vitamin B(1) in its active form thiamin pyrophosphate (TPP) is an essential coenzyme that is synthesised by coupling of pyrimidine and thiazole moieties in bacteria. The previously detected thiamin-regulatory element, thi box was extended, resulting in a new, highly conserved RNA secondary structure, the THI element, which is widely distributed in eubacteria and also occurs in some archaea. Analysis of operon structures identified a large number of new candidate thiamin-regulated genes, mostly transporters, in various prokaryotic organisms. Lineage: Bacteria; Pseudomonadati; Deferribacterota; Deferribacteres; Deferribacterales; Deferribacteraceae. The record is from RNAcentral. RNAcentral also lists the same sequence under 1 other name.
AUUUUACCGUGGGGGUGCUCCAUAUGGGGCUGAGAUAAUACCCCUUGAACCUGAUCCGGAUAAUGCCGGCGCAGGGAAACGGUUUAGGAAAAACA